RNAcentral lists this ribosomal RNA (344 nucleotides) under uncultured bacterium. RNAcentral describes it as "bacterial SSU rRNA". It matches the Rfam family "Bacterial small subunit ribosomal RNA", at positions 8 to 334 of the family's 1533-position model. The record is from RNAcentral.
AGGGUUCGAUCCUGGCUCAGGAUGAACGCUGGCGGCGUGCCUAACACAUGCAAGUCGAGCGAAGCGCUUUACUUUGAUUCUUCGGAUGAAGAGUUUUGUGACUGAGCGGCGGACGGGUGAGUAACGCGUGGGUAACCUGCCUCAUACAGGGGGAUAACAGUUAGAAAUGACUGCUAAUACCGCAUAAGACCACGGUGUCGCAUGACACAGUGGUAAAAACUCCGGUGGUAUGAGAUGGACCCGCGUCUGAUUAGCUAGUUGGCAGGGUAACGGCCUACCAAGGCGACGAUCAGUAGCCGACCUGAGAGGGUGACCGGCCACAUUGGGACUGAGACACGGCCCAA